CCUACGGGAGGCAGCAGUGGGGAAUAUUGCACAAUGGGGGAAACCCUGAUGCAGCGACGCCGCGUGAGUGAAGAAGGAUUUCGGUAUGUAAAGCUCUAUCAGCAGGGAAGAAAAUGACGGUACCUGAGUAAGAAGCCCCGGCUAACUACGUGCCAGCAGCCGCGGUAAUACGUAGGGGGCAAGCGUUAUCCGGAUUUACUGGGUGUAAAGGGAGCGUAGACGGCUGCACAAGUCUGGAGUGAACUGCCGGGGCUUAACCCCGGAACUGCUGGGGAAACUGUGCAGCUAGAGUGCAGGAGAGGUAAGUGGAAUUCCUAGUGUAGCGGUGAAAUGCGUAGAUAUUAGGAGGAACACCAGUGGCGAAGGCGGCUUACUGGACUGUAACUGACGUUGAGGCUCGAAAGCGUGGGGAGCAAACAGGAUUAGAUACCCCUGUAGUC
This 440-nucleotide ribosomal RNA is filed under the name uncultured bacterium. RNAcentral's name for it is "partial 16S ribosomal RNA". It matches the Rfam family "Bacterial small subunit ribosomal RNA", at positions 338 to 795 of the family's 1533-position model. The record is from RNAcentral.